AACACACAUCCAAGCAUCCAAGAAAAUAGGUAAAAGCCCCAGAGGCUAGGAGAAAACUAAACUCUGGGACCUAGAGUCUAUGAGCAACGUGGCACAGCUCUAGGGAGGUUGCCAGCUCAGUAACCUGGAAGCUUGGUUUUUGUUUACACCAAGUUAGAAGAGCAGGCUUUGAGUUUACUGGAUGCAGAAAAUGGAUACUGACAUCUCUGCAGAGAGCUGGGGCUUUUAAAGGUGAUGUGGGGAUAAAAGGGUGAACUAGCAAAAAAAUGUCCCUGCACACAGGGAGACAAGAAUGAAGACUAUACGUCUUGGCCUGGACUCAAAGUAGGGUGAAAACUCUUGCUUGUUAAUUUGUGGCCAUUGUAUACCAUUGUUUGAGAUUUGAGUUUCUGCUACCAGCACAUUCUGGAAGCAAUGACUCCCCUUACCCAUCUGAUUCUUCUGGCAACACAUAGCACCUUUUGUGGAUGUCUGGUUUAGGUUAAAAGGUGUUGUCUGUAGCUGUGGAUUA
Molecule: long non-coding RNA, 511 nt
Filed under: Homo sapiens (human)
Lineage: Eukaryota; Metazoa; Chordata; Mammalia; Primates; Hominidae
Description: non-protein coding lnc-TM6SF1-4:1
Source: RNAcentral